GGAAAUGGGACUUCAUGUUUUCUUUGGUUGUUACAAUAAUCUUUUUCGAUUGAUGAAAAAGGUUGGUGCUGAUAAAAAUCUGCUUGUGAAGGAUCAUACUCAUACUUUUGUAAACAAAGGGGGCGAAAUUGGUGAACUGGAUUUUAGGUUUCCAAUUGGAGCUCCGUUACAUGGAAUUCGUGCUUUUUUGUCUACAAAUAAGCUCAAG
Molecule: non-coding RNA, 208 nt
Organism: Camellia sinensis
Lineage: Eukaryota; Viridiplantae; Streptophyta; Magnoliopsida; Ericales; Theaceae
Source: RefSeq, a predicted model, not a curated record